GAGGCGGUUGAGGCCCGGCGAGAAUUCGAGCGCUGCGCGGGCGGGCCAGCAGAGUUGGGGGACCCUGCGCACCCUCCGCAGCUGCUGGCCCGGGUGCUAAGCCCCUCACUGCCCAGGCAGGCGGGGCGCCAGCUGGCCGCUCUGAGUGCGGCGCCCGCCGAGCCUACGCCCACCCGGAACUCGCGCUGGCUCGCGAGCGCCGCGCGCUGCCCGGGUUCCCAUCCGCGCCUCUCCCUCCACACCUCCCAGCAAGCAGAGGGAGCCGGCUCUGGCCUCCGCCAGCCCAGAGAGGCUUCCACAGUGCAGCGGCGGGCUGAAGGGCUCCUCAAGCGCGGCCAGAGUGGACGCCGAGGCCGAGGAGGCGCGGAGAGCGAGCGAGGGCUGCUAGCCCAUGCAAUGGACUCCAUGAAGGUUCCUGCUUGAUUUGUGAAACAGCCCAGGAAUAAGGGACAUUCUCCUGGAUCAUUCUGCUUCGUGAGAGGAUGAGGGCUCAGGAAACCACCCUGCUCUGGAUGGGUCAGCUGACACCACCUAGACCAGUAAUCUGGCUCAACCAUUUCUGUCAUGCCACCCAGGAACAGAAGACAUCAAGAAAACCUCACUUUGACCCCUUAUGAUUCCAUCUGCAACCUGACCAAUCAGCAUUCCCUACUUCCCAAUACCCUACCCACCAUAUUAUCAUUUUUUCUUUUUUUUUUUUUUUUUGAGACUGAGUUUCACUCUUGUUGGCCAGGCUGGAGUGCAAUGGUGCAAUGUCAGCUUACUUCAACUUCCGCCUCCUGGAUUCAAGCGAUUCUCCUGCCUCAGCCUCCUGAGUAGGUGAGAUUACAGGUGCUCACCACCACGCCUGGCUACUUUUUUGUGUUUUUAGUAGAGAGGGGGUUUCACCAUGUUGGCCAGGCUGUUCUUGAACUCCUGACCUUAGGUGAUCCACCUGCCUCAGCCUCCCAAAGUGCUGGGAUUACAGGCAUGAGCCACUAUGCCCGGCCCAGAUUAUUUUUAAUAUCUCUGAUCCCCGAA
RNAcentral lists this long non-coding RNA (1020 nucleotides) under Homo sapiens (human). RNAcentral describes it as "HSALNT0034832". Lineage: Eukaryota; Metazoa; Chordata; Mammalia; Primates; Hominidae. The record is from RNAcentral.